AGAGUUUGAUCCUGGCUCAGGACGAACGCUGGCGGCGUGCUUAACACAUGCAAGUCGAACGGUGAAGCCUUCGGGUGGAUCAGUGGCGAACGGGUGAGUAACACGUGAGCAACCUGCCUCUGACUCUGGGAUAACCCCCGGAAACGGGUGCUAAUACCGGAUAUGAUCUCCUGCCGCAUGGUGGGGGGUGGAAAGUUUUUCGGUCAGGGAUGGGCUCGCGGCCUAUCAGCUUGUUGGUGGGGUAAUGGCCUACCAAGGCGGUGACGGGUAGCCGGCCUGAGAGGGCGACCGGCCACACUGGGACUGAGACACGGCCCAGACUCCUACGGGAGGCAGCAGUGGGGAAUAUUGCGCAAUGGGCGAAAGCCUGACGCAGCGACGCCGCGUGGGGGAUGAAGGCCUUCGGGUUGUAAACCUCUUUCAGCAGGGAAGAAGCGAAAGUGACGGUACCUGCAGAAGAAGCACCGGCUAACUACGUGCCAGCAGCCGCGGUAAUACGUAGGGUGCAAGCGUUGUCCGGAAUUAUUGGGCGUAAAGAGCUCGUAGGCGGUUUGUCGCGUCUGCUGUGAAAACUUGGGGCUCAACUCCGGGCUUGCAGUGGGUACGGGCAGACUAGAGUGUGGUAGGGGAGACUGGAAUUCCUGGUGUAGCGGUGAAAUGCGCAGAUAUCAGGAGGAACACCGGUGGCGAAGGCGGGUCUCUGGGCCAUAACUGACGCUGAGGAGCGAAAGCGUGGGGAGCGAACAGGAUUAGAUACCCUGGUAGUCCACGCCGUAAACGUUGGGCGCUAGGUGUGGGGCUCUUUCCACGAGUUCCGUGCCACAGCUAACGCAUUAAGCGCCCCGCCUGGGGAGUACGGCCGCAAGGCUAAAACUCAAAGGAAUUGGCGGGGGCCCGCACAAGCGGCGGAGCAUGCGGAUUAAUUCGAUGCAACGCGAAGAACCUUACCAAGGCUUGACAUGGGUGGUAAUCCGGUAGAGAUGCCGGGUCCGUAAGGGCUACUCACAGGUGGUGCAUGGUUGUCGUCAGCUCGUGUCGUGAGAUGUUGGGUUAAGUCCCGCAACGAGCGCAACCCUCGUUCCAUGUUGCCAGCACGUUAUGGUGGGGACUCAUGGGAGACUGCCGGGGUCAACUCGGAGGAAGGUGGGGAUGACGUCAAAUCAUCAUGCCCCUUAUGUCUUGGGCUUCACGCAUGCUACAAUGGCCAGUACAAAGGGCUGCGAGACCGUGAGGUGGAGCGAAUCCCAAAAAGCUGGUCUCAGUUCGGAUAGGAGUCUGCAACUCGACUCUAUGAAGGCGGAAUCGCUAGUAAUCGCGGAUCAGCGUGCCGCGGUGAAUACGUUCCCGGGCCUUGUACACACCGCCCGUCACACCAUGAGAGCUAACUGUACCAGAAGUCGUUAGGCUAACCCUGAGUUCGCUUAGGGAGGCAGGCGCCUAAGGUAUGGUUGGUGAUUGGGGUGAAGUCGUAACAAGGUA
Molecule: ribosomal RNA, 1479 nt
Filed under: metagenome
Description: bacterial SSU rRNA
Rfam family: Bacterial small subunit ribosomal RNA
Source: RNAcentral